GUUAAAUCUAGACUCCUCGCUACCAUUAGCACCAAGAUGCUGGAGUCCUUGACAAUGAGGUGCACAUUUCUUAGAAUCAAGAUUAAUGUUGGUGGUGAUCCAUACAUUGCAUCCACUUCUAUAUUUAUGAUAAAUCAUUAUCAUUAUUAAGUUUUAUAUAAAGGAGAUGUUGUUUAGGUCUUAUGUGACGCCCCUCAUCCGUCUACAGUGUAGC
This 214-nucleotide unclassified non-coding RNA is filed under the name Hevea brasiliensis (rubber tree). Lineage: Eukaryota; Viridiplantae; Streptophyta; Magnoliopsida; Malpighiales; Euphorbiaceae. The record is from RNAcentral.